AUUAAAUAGCUGCAGUAUAAGUGACUGUACAAAGGUAGCAUAAUAAUUAGCUUUUUAAUUGAAGGCUGGAAUGAAUGAUUAAAUGAAAUAUUAACUGUUUCUUAGUAAAAUAAUGAAUUUUAUAUUUAAGUAAAAAAGCUUAAAUUAAUUUAAAAGACGAGAAGACCCUAUAGAAUUUUAUAUUUAGUUGGGGAAAUUUAAAAAUUUAAUAAACUUUUUAAUAAAAUUUACAUUGAUUGAUGAAUUUAAUAUAUUUAAUAAAAAAUGCAAAUUAAAUUACCUUAGGGAUAACAGCAUAA
Molecule: ribosomal RNA, 299 nt
Filed under: Bohayella sp. 3 NM-2007
Lineage: Eukaryota; Metazoa; Arthropoda; Insecta; Hymenoptera; Braconidae
Description: partial 16S ribosomal RNA
Source: RNAcentral